GACGAACGCUGGCGGCGUGCUUAACACAUGCAAGUCGAACGGAAAGGCCCUGCUUUUGUGGGGUGCUCGAGUGGCGAACGGGUGAGUAACACGUGAGUAACCUGCCCUUGACUUUGGGAUAACUUCAGGAAAAUGGGGCUAAUACCGGAUAGGAGCUCCUGCUGCAUGGGGGGGGUUGGAAAGUUUCGGCGGUUUGGGAUGGAUUCGCGGCUUAUCAGCUUGUUGGUGGGGUAGUGGCUUACCAAGGCUGUGACGGGUAGCCGGCCUGAGAGGGUGACCGGCCACAUGGGGACUGAGAUACGGCCCAGACUCCUACGGGAGGCAGCAGUGGGGAAUAUUGCACAAUGGGCGGAAGCCUGAUGCAGCAACGCCGCGUGCGGGAUGACGGCCUUCGGGUUGUAAACCGCUUUCGCCUGUGACGAAGCGUGAGUGACGGUAAUGGGUAAAGAAGCACCGGCUAACUACGUG
Molecule: ribosomal RNA, 468 nt
Filed under: uncultured bacterium
Lineage: Bacteria
Description: partial 16S ribosomal RNA
Rfam family: Bacterial small subunit ribosomal RNA
Source: RNAcentral